UACAGAGGGUGCAAGCGUUGCUCGGAAUUAUUGGGCGUAAAGCGCACGCAGGCGGCAGGGCAAGUCGGUUGUGAAAUCCCCGGGCUCAACCCGGGAGCUGCAGCCGAAACUGUUCAGCUGGAGUACGGAAGAGGGGAGCGGAAUUCCCAGUGUAGAGGUGAAAUUCGUAGAGAUUGGGAGGAACACCGGUGGCGAAAGCGGCUCCCUGGUCCGAUACUGACGCUCAGGUGCGAAAGCGUGGGGAGCAAACAGG
This 253-nucleotide ribosomal RNA is filed under the name uncultured bacterium. Its description in RNAcentral is "partial 16S ribosomal RNA". It matches the Rfam family "Bacterial small subunit ribosomal RNA", at positions 524 to 776 of the family's 1533-position model. The record is from RNAcentral.